GACGAACGCUGGCGGCGUGCUUAACACAUGCAAGUCGAACGGAAAGGCCCUGCUUUUGUGGGGUGCUCGAGUGGCGAACGGGUGAGUAACACGUGAGUAACCUGCCCUUGACUUUGGGAUAACUUCAGGAAACUGGGGCUAAUACCGGAUAGGAGCUCCUGCUGCAUGGUGGGGGUUGGAAAGUUUCGGCGGUUGGGGAUGGACUCGAGGCUUAUCAGCUUGGUGGUGGGGUAGUGGCUUACCAAGGCUUUGACGGGUAGCCGGCCUGAGAGGGUGACCGGCCACAUUGGGACUGAGAUACGGCCCAGACUCCUACGGGAGGCAGCAGUGGGGAAUAUUGCACAAUGGGCGGAAGCCUGAUGCAGCAACGCCGCGUGCGGGAUGACGGCCUUCGGGUUGUAAACCGCUUUCGCCUGUGACGAAGCGUGAGUGACGGUAAUGGGUAAAGAAGCACCGGCUAACUACGUG
This 468-nucleotide ribosomal RNA is filed under the name uncultured bacterium. Its description in RNAcentral is "partial 16S ribosomal RNA". It matches the Rfam family "Bacterial small subunit ribosomal RNA", at positions 28 to 507 of the family's 1533-position model. The record is from RNAcentral.